UUUCGAAUCCAGUAUUGCAAAAGUUGCCAUAGUUUUAAAAUGACCGCUACUUUUAUUAUCUGCGCAUGCGCACUCUGAAUCUUCUUCAUUCGUAAAAUCAGUUGAUUGUGAACUUGUGAAGUGGUGAAGUUGUCUGUCAAGUCGUCAAUACAAGACUCGCUUGUGUUGACAAGAAUUUUGCAAAAAGUAAUAAUAUUAUUGUUGUGCGGUAGUUGGCUUUAUCUAAAUAAAUGCAUUUUUUAUUUUAUUAAAACGUGAUUUCUUCCUAGUGCUAACAGGCUUUUUGUCAAUUUUAAGAAACUGAACUUGUCUUAACAAGAAAAAUUAAUUUGACAUGUGCAAAGAACAGUGGCUGUUUGAUUCAGUUUUGUGGUUAUUACCAGUAAUAACACUAAUCACCGGUAUCAUAACACUAUUUUACUUUUUGGGCACUAAAAAUUACAAUUACUGGACAAAACAUGGCGUAUUUAGCAAUACUCCCCGUUGGCCAUUCCUGGGUAACCUGAGAAUCUCCGAUCUGCCGAAAUCCAACCGGGACCUGAUCAAAGGCAUCUACGACAGUUUCGAAGGCCGUGGUUGCGGUGGAUUCUAUUUUCUGACAAAACCAGUGCUGGUCGUGCGAGAUCCCGAUCUGAUUGUCAGUAUUCUGGUGAGCGAUUUUGCGCAUUUCUCGAGUCGUGGCUUCCAUUCAAACGAGCAGCAUGAUCCACUCUCCAAAAAUCUCAUCCAUUUGGAUGGUCCGCCUUGGAAACAGGUCAGGCCUAAGAUGACCGCUGCGUUUGGCAUCAAUAAGUUGAGGACUAUGAUAUCUGACAUGGAUAAUUUCGCAGUUAAAACUCUGGAACAGAUGUCAAAACAUAGUAACAUAAAUGCUGAAGAUUUAUCUGAUAAAUUCAUGAUUGAUGUAGUAUCUUCGUGUCUGUUCGGUAUCAAUUCGGAAGCAAUUGAAAAUCCUGAGUCAGCUUUCUAUGAGGUAGCUAAGCAGAUAUUUGAUGGCUAUCACUUCCUGGUACAUGUAUUUGUGGGCUACAUGUUUCCUGCUGUGCACACUCUUGCCAGGAUGACAGUGGCUCGGUCGCAAGUCACCCACUUCUUCAAGAAAGUCACCAACGAAAACCUGCACUUGAGAAAGUCUGAAGGAUUUUCACAGAGAAAAGACUUCUUUCAGACUCUUGUGAGCAUGAAGGAGACGCAGGAAAUUUGUAAAGAAGACAAUGGGGGAAGUAAAGUUUGCGAUGAAGACUUUAUCGCAGCAAAUCUGUUCAUGUUCUUCAGUGCUGGCUUUGAUUCUUCGGGAAAGAUUGGAGCUUUCAUUAUCUAUGAGCUGGCUGCUAACAAAGAGAUGCAAACAACUUUGAGAGACGAAGUACUAAGAGUACUUGAAAAGUACGACGAUAAAAUGAGCUUUGAGGCUCUUCAAGAAAUGACCUAUUUAGAAAAGAUAGUUGCCGAAGCGAAUCGGAAAUAUCCAAUUCUGAUGGUGAUCUUUAGAAAAUGCGAAAAAGCCUAUCGCCUGCCUGACGGGGGUCUCAUUGAACCAGGAAUUAACGUGAUGAUACCAUCUUCAGCCAUCCACUAUGACCCUAAAUUCUACCCAGACCCUGAGAAAUUUGACCCGGAACGUUUCAGUGAGGAAAAUAAGAGUCAAAGACAUCAGGGCUCUUAUCUGCCGUUUGGGAUUGGACCCAGGAUUUGUCCAGGAUUCCUAGGAUCCUUGUAAGAAAGUCAAAAGUGGCACAAAUCUUCAUCUGCAGUACUACUGAUCCAAAUAGAAAAUCAGCAUAGCAAAUAUUGCGAAUGAAGAUCACCAAUGAAAAAAUGUAUUUCAGAUAGAAAUUUUGAAAAUCACCAACCUUUGUAAGCACAAUGGACAAAGACGCAAGGAUUAUCAUGCUGACUCCAAUGAUAACUCCAAAAAGCGUGGAAGUAAAAUGAAACAAUCUUUAACAAUGGAAAGUAACCAUGCCCUCUGAAUAAAAUUGAAUGAGUUUACAGUACCUUAAAAUUUCAAGAUGAUGAAGUAUAUUUUCUUUGAGGCUAUCGUGAAGACAUC
RNAcentral lists this unclassified non-coding RNA (2053 nucleotides) under Nilaparvata lugens (brown planthopper). RNAcentral describes it as "probable cytochrome P450 6a13, transcript variant X1". Lineage: Eukaryota; Metazoa; Arthropoda; Insecta; Hemiptera; Delphacidae. The record is from RNAcentral.